This is a non-coding RNA of Podarcis lilfordi (Lilford's wall lizard), 70 nucleotides long. The record is from the annotation of a GenBank genome assembly. Lineage: Eukaryota; Metazoa; Chordata; Lepidosauria; Squamata; Lacertidae.
UGUGUGUGUGUGUGUGUGUGUGUGUGUGUGUGUGUGUACAGACACAUACAUGCAUACGUGCACACACACU